Long non-coding RNA from Homo sapiens (human), 1959 nucleotides. Lineage: Eukaryota; Metazoa; Chordata; Mammalia; Primates; Hominidae. The record is from Ensembl.
AUAUGUACUUGAUUUUGUCUGGCUUCUUUCACUCAACAUAGUUACUUUGACAUGCCUGCGUGUUUUUGCAUGGAACAAUCAUUCAUUGCUUCCUGAGCAGUAUUCCAUUUAUGGAUAUACCACCGUGUGUUUAGUCAGCACUUGAUUUAGCCUGCUUUCAAUUUUUCCUGAUUAGAACUACAGCUGCUAGGAACAUCCCUGUGCAAAUCUUUGUACAGACAUAUACGGUUUUUCCUCUCUGGGGUAAAUACCUGGAAGUGGAAUGCCCAGGUCGUAAGCCUAACCUGAACUUAAGCCGGCAGAUGAGGAUAAGGCUCCCCAGCCUCCCGGAACAAGCAGACAGUUAUUAAUGGAAAUGUUCCACCAGUUCAGCUUUUGGUUAUAGAAAAAUAUAUCAUUACUACUUUUUAGAAACCUCAGAAAUAGACGACUACUACUUCUUAAAAAAAAGGGAGUUUUUGGAAAACUAAAGGAGUUCGCAGGGUCAUACAUCAUCUUUUUCUUUCAUCUUGAAAACUAAGAAACGAAGAAAAAUUGGAUCAUGGAAAUACAGGAAUUUACAUCAGCUCAUUUGGCAGAAUGCUGAAGCCUUACUGGUCUGAGGUGUCAGAGGUCAGAGCCUGAGACUGACAGAGGAGCCACAGGUGACCAGCAAACUGCAGAAGCUCUGGGGAGAACUCCAUGGAGUCAGGCUAAAAACAGCAGCAACCAGAAACUGUAAGAACUGAGCAGAGAUACCAGCUGCACCACUAGAGAGACAAAGUGUGUAGCUCACUGCCUAGUACAGCAAAAUAGCCACAAUCCUCAGAAGGACACAACAGAAUCUGGAAUCACUAGAAAGUAUUAUCUACAAUGCUCAUUCUUAACCAUGCAAAGAAGAAACAGGAAAGUGUGAUUCAAAGUCAGAAAAAAGUCAGUCAAUAGAAAUCUACUCUGUUAGGGACAGGUGUUGGUGAAUUAAGUAAUUAGAGACUCUAAAGCAGCUAUGAUAAAUAUGUUCACAGAGGAAAGCUCAAUAGAGAAAUGAAACUUCAAACAUGGAAAUUUAAGACUUGAAAAGUACAAAAACUAGAAAGAAAAAUUUACUAGGUGGACCAAACGGCAGAUUAGAGAUGCCAAAAUUGCAUAAAUUGAACAGAGAUCAAAAGACGUUAUUUAAUCUAAAAAAUUGAAGAAAAAUGAGCAGAGCCUUAGAGUCCUGUAAAAUAUCAAGCAAGAUAACAUAUAUGUAAUUGGGUUCCGGAGGGAGAGAAGGAAUGGAAAAAAAUAUUUGCAUAAAUAAUGACUGAAAAAUUCCAUGAUUGGCAGAAAACACUAAUUUACAGAUCUAAGAAGGUCAAGCACCCCAAGCAGGAUAUAUAAUUAUAUCACUUCCAUGCAGAAGAGAAAUGCAGAAAGCCAAAGAUAAAGAGCAAAGUGUUGAAAGCAGCCAAAGAAAAGUGACACAUCACGUACAGGAAAAUAGUUCAGCUCAAUGGCUGAAUUUUCAUCAGAAAUACUGGCAUUCAGAAGAAAUUUAAAAAUGCUGAAAACAAAACUAGCAGCCAAGAAUUUUGUAUCAAGCAAAAAUGUCUUUUCAAAAUUAAAGGCAAAAGGAAGCAACUUCCAGAUAAAUUUAAAAGACAGAAUUUAUGCCAUUAUAUUUACACUGUAAGAAAUGCUAAAUGAGGUUCUUCAGGUUGAAGGGAAAUGACCCUGAUGACAACAUGGAUCUACAGGAAAAAAUGAAAAGCAUCAGAAAUCAUACAUAUGUGAGUAAAUAUAAAAUACUAAAUAUUGAUAGAUGAAUAUAUGGAUAGGUACUACACAAACACAUAUGAACAUAUAAUUCUUAAUAUCUUAACACAUGAUAUAGGACUCUUCAAAACAAAAAAUUAUUACAUUGUAUUGUUGGGUUUGUAAUGGACACAGAUAUAAAAUAUGUAACAAUAUUAAGAGUAGGAAAAGUAGAGAUACAUU